This is a non-coding RNA of Coturnix japonica (Japanese quail), 4724 nucleotides long. Lineage: Eukaryota; Metazoa; Chordata; Aves; Galliformes; Phasianidae. The record is from RefSeq and is a predicted model, not a curated record.
GGUCACUCCACAGCCUUUUCUUCUUCAGACAAAUGAUACUUAUCUAAAUCAAUGUAUUUUUAUUUGUCUUUUGGUGCCAUUGUGUUGAUGUCUAUUAAGGGUAAUACAAGAUACUGAGAAGAAAUGUUCUAUAUUUCUGUGUCUCUUUAAGUAAAAGUUAAUCUCUGGAAUUAAGAAGGAAGCAGUUUCACGGAGGACCCAGAAGUACAUGCCAGAGCAAGAGAUGCUCUUCCAUAGGAGUGUAGAACCAUAGAAUAGCGUGUAUUGGAAGGGAACUCAAGUAACAUCAAGCUCCAACCCCCUGCCACAGGAAGGGCCACCAAACUCCAUACUUAAAACAAGAAUACUUUAAUGUUUAAACGUUAAAUUAAAUUAACACUUAAUACUAGAAUACUUUAAUCCCAGCUGUACUGGGGAGAAACAUUUUGCAUAAAACCCCCUAGAAAUGGAACAACCUCAACUUACCAAAUAACAUCCACUGCAUCCAACACAUGGAUAACCACUGUAUUAAAUCCAGAUGUAACACAGUAGGAAUCUGGGUAAGUAAUUGUUUCAUAUCAGUUUUUGGCAUUUUAAAAGCUCCAUCUUCAGCAGGCUGAUGGUGUGGGCAGUGUGAUGGGCUAAGGCUUGUUUCCAAAGCAAUGGAGGAGAUGAGGGAUUUGGGGCUCCUGUAUCUGCAGUCACUGCCGUUGUGGGACUUCACAGCACCACAGCAAUAUAUCACCUCUUCCUAUAAGUCUGUCCUGUGCAAUCUCUAAACAAGUAAAAUAAUUUUUUUAGCUCCCGUAUCCAAGUCCCUAAAUAACCUGGAAACUCAUCCAGCCACCGUGCUAAUAAAACCUAAUUCUAACCGAUGAGAAAACCAAGUUUUCUGAAGCCUUUUAUCACAUUCUGACAGCGUGACAAAACCAACGUGUUUUGGGGCAGCUCUUCCAGUUUGGCUGGGUUCCCCUACAACGACCCAUGCAAUCUGCUGGUCUCCUCCAGCCAUCCCUGCCCAGUCUGGCAGCCUGGCCUGCCUGGGGCGGCCUCUGGCGCUGUGAUCAUCCAUUGUAAUCCUCUGCUCAGCACAGGGCUGCCUUUUUGGGACCAGGCUUUUUGGAACCCAGUCCAAACACCCCAUGAAAAUCCCUUGAAACUCUGAGUUUGCCCACACUUUAUGGGUGACUGUCUCCAGGAAUUAACUGCUGUCACUGCCAGAAGUGAUUUUUCCUUAUGUGCGUUUGAAAUUCGCGUUGCUACAACUUUUUUCUCUUCUCUUUUUAAUUUCUUUCAGUAUUUUUAUUCUGACAAAUGCUUGUUCCCAUUGAGUUGGAAUCCAAACUGAAAACGUACACAAAACUCAAUAAAAUAAUCAGAGCUCUGCCACAGAAUGGAAAUCCUUAAUUUAACAGCAUGCUCUGAAGGAAGCACACAGCCUGCAUGUGCUCAGAUCUAUUCAGUUGGCCUCCCAGGGUCUCAGUGGGCUUCUGCAUGAACAACGGGGUCUAUUCUGAUGAAUGUGACUGUGAAAGUAGUUUGGGGAUCGUAACAGGGUAUCAGAACAUGCAUAUAAAAUAAUAAUUCAUAAUAAACUUAUUAAGAUUCCUUCAAGUGAAAUCCCAUUUACAUCCUUCAUUUUCUAUAGGGAAAUUAAGGAUUUCUAGUAGUAGAUUUUUUUUUUAAUUCUUGGGAGACGCAGCAUUUGCAGCCUUCUGCUCCCAGCAUCUGUGUAGCAGACCAAGGAACAGAAUAGAACAAGUGCUGGCCGUAUCUCUGAGAUUAAAGACCAUUGUGUGUGAGUUGCUAAGCCACGGCCUGAAGUAGUGAUUGAGCACCUGGCGAAGGGAUGCAGCCAGCCUUGGGAGCACAGGUGGAAGCAGUUCAGCCUUGUGACUGGAAGGGGUGGGCCCUGUCUCCAUCCCUUCCUAACCUCAUUUAAGGUCUGGCAGCCACAAGCAAAGAACGUUUACCUGGAGGUUCCUCCUUUUGGAGUGUUUGGUGAGUCCUGAUCUUUGGGAUGGGAGCUAAACCUGAAUCCCACUUAGGUGUUCAAUUAAAAAGCCCUACUGAAAUAGAUACUGAAACCUUCAGGAGUUUACCUCUGAGCCUGGCUGACUUAUGCCAAGAUGGAAGUUAAUGAAAGAAGCCCUCACUUAGUGGCACACACCAAAAAGGAGAUCCCUUGCAUCCCCCUUACCACAGGGAAGCAGUUGGCAAACAAGCAGGUGACCACAAGUCGUCUGCAAGUGUUGAAAAGCAAUUUGCUGCCUUUGCAUUACCAGCUGUGCAGACACAUUUAGUACCUGUGCUGGAUGGAUGCUCUGUGAUCUUCUGCCUUGUCACCAUCUGCAUGAAGGUUUCUUAGCAGCUGCCUGAUUUCUUCCCUCAUCCCUGUGGGCUGUGCUGGGAGUGGUUGGAUCCCUUUCCUGGUGUCUGAGGUAUGGGAUGUGGGCAGGUGACCCUGGGACUGCAAGCACUGAGUCCAGGCAUGGGAUGCACUCAGCAACUUUCCUGCACAAGAAGAUGAAUCAUAGAAUCAUAGAAUGGCCUGGGUUGAAAGGGACCACAACAGUCAUCUAGUUUCCACCUCCCUGCUAUGUGCAGGGUCACCAACCACUAAACCAGGCUGCCCAGAGCCACAUCCAGCCUGGGAAGAUGGAUGUGAAGAUGGAGAAGUCCUGGGGGAUGAAGGAGACUUCUGAAAGUCUUGGGGAGAAUACACUGGUAUCUGAUGAAGUUAUGCAGGAAUCUUUGCUCAGAUGCCUCUUCUGCCCUACCUUGUGUUGGAAGAAACCCUAAUGGCUGUGCCUGUCCCUUCUCCAUGGUGGUUUUAAUACCAGGACUGCCGCACCGCUCUGGCUGAAGCAACAAGGAAGGCCACAACCUAACUGUGUUUUAAAUAACCAGGUAAUGCUUCGGUAUCUCUAUUACUUCUGGUGAAGCAGCUUCUAUCAUAUCUGAAAGAUGAGUUAUAAUUUGGGGGUUGGCCUUGAUGAUCUCCAGAGCUCCCUUCCAACCCCUAUGGUUGUGUGAUUAUCAGUCAUGAGUAAACAGAACUGGCAGCUGAAUGAGGUACAGGAGCUUAAAUAACGUGCUGAGCUUGGGAAUGGUCUGAGGGUUGGUAAUACUACAAUAGUGCUUUCUAUUUGUGUUCUUCAAGCAUGUUUUUCCUGGAAAUCACACAGGCCCACACAGUGAUGGAUGGGGCACGCUGUCAUUUUGAGUCACCGGUAUGUUGGGAUGGAAUAGGAAAGCUCCUUUAAAAGCAGACCGUGUCAUGUUUGCAGCUUCGUUUUCAUGGAUGAAUAUUGUUUUGAGACUAAUGUAAGCUCUGUGUAUUAUUUGGUACCAAAAUUGUGCUAUGCAAUUUCAUUUCCAAGUACUCUCAGGGUCAUUUAUGUGUAUAUAAUGGGUGGAUAAGUCAAACAAAGAGCCCUCCUCUGCCACUCUGGGCACCAGGUCAUGCAUAGGCGUCCAUGCUAGGAGCUGAUAGGAAGCUGGCAUUGCUGUGCUCUGUGAGCCCACCCUGAGCUGGCAUUUCAUUGAGAACCCUUUUGGAGACUGUGUGUUGCUUUGUCUAAUAGCAAACAGACUUAGCAAACGAGCUCCAGAAUACGUUAGCAGGGUUUGUUUCUUUUUUGCAUGUUUGCAGUUUUCAGUUCAGGCAUUGACAGCCGUGAACUUCACAAUGAGACUGACAUCCGAGAUCUGUGUAAAGGUCAAUGUUUUUAAUCGUGCUUUAUAGAUAAAAGCAAUAUCUACAUCGAUACAGUCUGAUAGCAUUGAUUUCAGCACAGAGUUUUCAAUUAUUAUUCAGAAUUCUCUAUUAUCUUGCUGCAGUCCCACAGCCUUAGCAGAUAGUGCAGUGCUCCAUGAGAUAACCUUUAACUCAUGCUGGUGUCAAAAGCGAGCUGUGAUGUGCACUCCCUGCCCUUCUGCAGUGGGCAGUCUGGGUAAGGAAGGCUUCAGUGCAAAUCAUGAUGCACUGAGGGCGCCUUCAGUUCUGAUAUGGUGUAUCAGCUGUUUGCAGGGCUGAUGGUGCAUGAACAAGCCAAGAUCUCAGCCAUGCUGGGAAAUGCAGGGCAGUGGGAGGGGUGGCUGUGAUUAUCCCAUUACAAAGGGAAGGAUGUCUUCACUCUAAAACAUGUCCAGUGUUACCUUGUAAAGCAUGGUUCAUCACAGGGGGGAUUGAUACUAAAUAAUAAUGCUUCUGCUUAAUUCCAGUAUAUACUGGGUUUAUCUAGGUGUUGUCAUUCACUGUUUCCAACAGCUUCCACGUGAUCAGUUGAAACCAAAGCACAGCACAGCUGCUUCUUGCAGGUGUACCUGUAGGACUCUUGCUGUUGGUGGUGUUCAGAGCAGCCACUUUGAGUAUCCCAAACCCUCACAUGGAAUACAGGAGGGCAGCAAAGCAUCACCUCCAGGCACAGCUGUGAUGACCCACUUAUGCAUCCUUCUUGUGUCUGCAGUGAUGUUAUCUCCAUUAGCGAUAUCACACCUGAAAGACGGAUGGCAUCAGGUUUAAAGUGAAUCCAUUCCCACGGGGCGAAAUGGGACUGCUUCCAAGCUGCUCCACUCCUAUCUACCUGGAAACACAGUAAACUCCUCCUAAUUCCUACAUCCUUCUAACUUCUACAUGAGACUCCGCCAGCUUUCAUCUGCUUGACAUGAGCUACCAGUGCUGGUGAUUACUCACUUGUGCUGGCUGUUAGUGAUAGUAAUAAAACGUUGACAAUGCCGGA